Long non-coding RNA from Hemicordylus capensis (graceful crag lizard), 904 nucleotides. RefSeq lists it as uncharacterized. The record is from RefSeq and is a predicted model, not a curated record. The transcript is spliced from 3 exons. NCBI's taxonomy places the organism in Eukaryota, Metazoa, Chordata, Lepidosauria, Squamata, Cordylidae.
AAAAGGUUGGCGCUAAAAGCAAUGCUGGUUGGUAGCAAAAGAGGUUACACAAAAAUCAAACUCUGAAGACAGAUACUGAACAGUCCAAUUCACCAGGUGUUACAUCUAGUUUCUGAAAGCCGGGGUGGGUGUGGAUUUUCUACCAAAGCCAUGAGACCAAAUAAAAUGGAUGUGCACUUGUCUAAAUUGGAAGGCUACUCUGGGAAGAGCAGACACAGCUGAGAAGCACAGAUGUACAUAUUUUCUCUACAAGAGACCGACUAGAAUUACUUGGAUUGUCUUUCCCUGCCCUAUGACACAAGCUUGGACUUUUGAUUUCUUCAAACCCGAUUCAUUCUACUUUCAUAACUUGUGUUUCUGUCACCAGCACUCCCCCCGCCCCGCCCGCACCCUACACACGGAAUCAUUUACAGAGCUAAGAGACAUAAGGAGCUCAUGAUGACUACAGGAAGAGAAACUAGUGAAACAACUAUUGGGUAACAGGAACACAAGUUGACAAAAGGGAAGAAAAAGAAGAAAUAAUUUAGAGCACAAGACUGAAACAAAUGUUGCUUUUUUAAAAAGCCCUUCUAACAAAGAGCAACAAGAACGUGGGACAGAAGAUUACAGACAUGCAAAUUCAGUUCCUUUAAUGCACACACAGACGCUGCCCUGUUCUCAUCUAUGAAUCAGGGACUGCACCCACACAGAGAGAUGAAAAUGGGGGAAACUCAGUCCUUAAGUAUGCUCCUUGUACUCUACUGUGGGGGCUGAACUGUGCCCAGAGUUUCGUUUCUUAGAGCAGAUUAUAAGUCAUUCCACUUGUGAAACAUUGCUUAAAUUAUCAACAUUAGCUUUGCUUUUCUAACAAUGUGAAACAGUUGUGUAACUUGUGAGUAGCCUCAUUAGUCUGUAUAUAUGCCAA